This 454-nucleotide ribosomal RNA is filed under the name Streptomyces sp. 10SAE. RNAcentral's name for it is "bacterial SSU rRNA". It matches the Rfam family "Bacterial small subunit ribosomal RNA", at positions 573 to 1024 of the family's 1533-position model. The record is from RNAcentral. Lineage: Bacteria; Bacillati; Actinomycetota; Actinomycetes; Kitasatosporales; Streptomycetaceae.
AGGCGGCUUGUCACGUCGGUUGUGAAAGCCCGGGGCUUAACCCCGGGUCUGCAGUCGAUACGGGCAGGCUAGAGUUCGGUAGGGGAGAUCGGAAUUCCUGGUGUAGCGGUGAAAUGCGCAGAUAUCAGGAGGAACACCGGUGGCGAAGGCGGAUCUCUGGGCCGAUACUGACGCUGAGGAGCGAAAGCGUGGGGAGCGAACAGGAUUAGAUACCCUGGUAGUCCACGCCGUAAACGGUGGGCACUAGGUGUGGGCAACAUUCCACGUUGUCCGUGCCGCAGCUAACGCAUUAAGUGCCCCGCCUGGGGAGUACGGCCGCAAGGCUAAAACUCAAAGGAAUUGACGGGGGCCCGCACAAGCGGCGGAGCAUGUGGCUUAAUUCGACGCAACGCGAAGAACCUUACCAAGGCUUGACAUACACCGGAAAACCCUGGAGACAGGGUCCCCCUUGUGG